RNAcentral lists this ribosomal RNA (1508 nucleotides) under Helicobacter pylori B8. Its description in RNAcentral is "16S ribosomal RNA". It matches the Rfam family "Bacterial small subunit ribosomal RNA". The record is from RNAcentral. Lineage: Bacteria; Pseudomonadati; Campylobacterota; Epsilonproteobacteria; Campylobacterales; Helicobacteraceae.
CUUUUAUGGAGAGUUUGAUCCUGGCUCAGAGUGAACGCUGGCGGCGUGCCUAAUACAUGCAAGUCGAACGAUGAAGCUUCUAGCUUGCUAGAGUGCUGAUUAGUGGCGCACGGGUGAGUAACGCAUAGGUCAUGUGCCUCUUAGUUUGGGAUAGCCAUUGGAAACGAUGAUUAAUACCAGAUACUCCCUACGGGGGAAAGAUUUAUCGCUAAGAGAUCAGCCUAUGUCCUAUCAGCUUGUUGGUAAGGUAAUGGCUUACCAAGGCUAUGACGGGUAUCCGGCCUGAGAGGGUGAACGGACACACUGGAACUGAGACACGGUCCAGACUCCUACGGGAGGCAGCAGUAGGGAAUAUUGCUCAAUGGGGGAAACCCUGAAGCAGCAACGCCGCGUGGAGGAUGAAGGUUUUAGGAUUGUAAACUCCUUUUGUUAGAGAAGAUAAUGACGGUAUCUAACGAAUAAGCACCGGCUAACUCCGUGCCAGCAGCCGCGGUAAUACGGAGGGUGCAAGCGUUACUCGGAAUCACUGGGCGUAAAGAGCGCGUAGGCGGGAUAGUCAGUCAGGUGUGAAAUCCUAUGGCUUAACCAUAGAACUGCAUUUGAAACUACUAUUCUAGAGUGUGGGAGAGGUAGGUGGAAUUCUUGGUGUAGGGGUAAAAUCCGUAGAGAUCAAGAGGAAUACUCAUUGCGAAGGCGACCUGCUGGAACAUUACUGACGCUGAUUGCGCGAAAGCGUGGGGAGCAAACAGGAUUAGAUACCCUGGUAGUCCACGCCCUAAACGAUGGAUGCUAGUUGUUGGAGGGCUUAGUCUCUCCAGUAAUGCAGCUAACGCAUUAAGCAUCCCGCCUGGGGAGUACGGUCGCAAGAUUAAAACUCAAAGGAAUAGACGGGGACCCGCACAAGCGGUGGAGCAUGUGGUUUAAUUCGAAGAUACACGAAGAACCUUACCUAGGCUUGACAUUGAGAGAAUCCGCUAGAAAUAGUGGAGUGUCUGGCUUGCCAGACCUUGAAAACAGGUGCUGCACGGCUGUCGUCAGCUCGUGUCGUGAGAUGUUGGGUUAAGUCCCGCAACGAGCGCAACCCCCUUUCUUAGUUGCUAACAGGUUAUGCUGAGAACUCUAAGGAUACUGCCUCCGUAAGGAGGAGGAAGGUGGGGACGACGUCAAGUCAUCAUGGCCCUUACGCCUAGGGCUACACACGUGCUACAAUGGGGUGUACAAAGAGAAGCAAUACUGCGAAGUGGAGCCAAUCUUCAAAACACCUCUCAGUUCGGAUUGUAGGCUGCAACUCGCCUGCAUGAAGCUGGAAUCGCUAGUAAUCGCAAAUCAGCCAUGUUGCGGUGAAUACGUUCCCGGGUCUUGUACUCACCGCCCGUCACACCAUGGGAGUUGUGUUUGCCUUAAGUCAGGAUGCUAAAUUAGCUACUGCCCACGGCACACACAGCGACUGGGGUGAAGUCGUAACAAGGUAACCGUAGGUGAACCUGCGGUUGGAUCACCUCCUUUCU